This 68-nucleotide transfer RNA is filed under the name Marmota monax (woodchuck). RNAcentral's name for it is "tRNA.Ala". Lineage: Eukaryota; Metazoa; Chordata; Mammalia; Rodentia; Sciuridae. The record is from RNAcentral.
GGAUUGUGCCUUAGCGGUAGAGCACUCGCCUAGCAUGUGUGAGGCUCUGGGUUUGAUCCUCAGCACCA